CUACGAAAGGUGCAAGCGUUGUUCGGAUUUACUGGGCGUAAAGAGAGUGUAGGUGGUUUAUUAAGUCGGAUGUGAAAUCCCGGGGCUCAACCUCGGAACUGCAUUCGAUACUGAUAGGCUAGAGUUUGGGAGGGGUAAGCGGAAUUCCGUGUGUAGCAGUGAAAUGCGUAGAUAUACGGAGGAACACCUGAGGCGAAGGCGGCCUACUGGACCAAUACUGACACUGAGACUCGAAAGCGUGGGUAGCAAACAGGAUUAGAAACCCUAGUAGUCC
Molecule: ribosomal RNA, 274 nt
Filed under: uncultured bacterium
Lineage: Bacteria
Description: partial 16S ribosomal RNA
Rfam family: Bacterial small subunit ribosomal RNA
Source: RNAcentral